This 402-nucleotide ribosomal RNA is filed under the name Verrucomicrobiota bacterium. Its description in RNAcentral is "Verrucomicrobia bacterium partial 16S ribosomal RNA". It matches the Rfam family "Bacterial small subunit ribosomal RNA", at positions 355 to 776 of the family's 1533-position model. The record is from RNAcentral. Lineage: Bacteria; Pseudomonadati; Verrucomicrobiota.
UGGGGAAUUUUGCACAAUGGGGGAAACCCUGAUGCAGCGACGCCGCGUGAUUUAGAAGGCCUUCGGGUUGUAAAAAUCUUUUGUAUGGGAAGAAAAUGACAGUACCAUACGAAUAAGGACCGGCUAAUUACGUGCCAGCAGCCGCGGUAAUACGUAAGGUCCGAGCGUUGUCCGGAAUCAUUGGGCGUAAAGGGUACGUAGGCGGAUAAGCAAGUUAGAAGUGAAAUCCUAUAGCUCAACUAUAGUAAGCUUUUAAAACUGCUCAUCUUGAGGUAUGGAAGGGAAAGUGGAAUUCCUAGUGUAGCGGUGAAAUGCGCAGAUAUUAGGAGGAAUACCGGUAGCGAAGGCGACUUUCUGACCAUAUACUGACGCUGAGGUACGAAAGCGUGGGUAGCAAACAGG